Pelobates cultripes (western spadefoot toad) is the source of this 102-nucleotide non-coding RNA. NCBI's taxonomy places the organism in Eukaryota, Metazoa, Chordata, Amphibia, Anura, Pelobatidae. The record is from the annotation of a GenBank genome assembly.
UGUUUGUAUAGUGUGUGUAUAUAAUGCAGUGUGUUUGUGUAGUGUGCAUUAUAUAAACACACUACACAAACACACUGCAUUAUAUACACACACUGCAUUAUA